This is a non-coding RNA of Otolemur garnettii (small-eared galago), 269 nucleotides long. The record is from Rfam. NCBI's taxonomy places the organism in Eukaryota, Metazoa, Chordata, Mammalia, Primates, Galagidae.
GCCGGGCGUUGUGGCGGGAACCUGUAGUCCCAGCCACUUGGGAGGCUGAGGCUAGAGAAUAGCUUUAGCCCAGGGAUUGGAGGUUGCUGUGAGCUGUGUGAUGCCACGGCACUCUACCAAGGGUAACAAAGUGAGACUCUGUCUCUAUUUAAAAAAAAAAAAAAAAAAAGAGAGACAGAGUCUUAUUUUGUUGCCCUUGGUAGAGUGCUGUGCCAUCACAGCUCAUAGCAACCUCCAGCUCUUGGACUUAGAAGGUUCUCUUUCCUCAG